UAAGCAUAGGUCCUAUAAAUUUUUCUUCUCUAGUCAAAAACCCAAAUUCUAAUCUUAAUUUGACAGACCCCCCUGGACAAAUUGAAAUACCCAUUUUGCCCUUUUAAUUUCAAUUUAAAACCCUAACCCCUCUCUCUUAACUCUCGUUCUAUCCUCCCUCCUCCCACCGUCUCUUCCCUCUUUCACCUCCCACCUGCUCCGCUGCUCUGCCACCGGCGCAAAACCGCCGCUGCUCCGCCACUGCUCCGCCACCGGCAUAAAAUCGUCGCUGCUCCGCCCGAGCCUUGUGCCGCUGCUCCGCCACCGUGCUGCUCGGUUCCUUUCUCACUCUAACCAUUCUUCCACCGCCCAUCCUCGCUCCACCUCCACCGUUCAAGCGGUCGCUCCCCCUCCGUCUAGCGCCGCCGACAACGGAUCUAGAAAAUCGCUGUCUUUUUACAGCAGAUCCGACACACAGUAGGUCUUGCAAGAGUACUUGGGUCCCGCUACGAACACGAGAAUUUUACAGGACCGCCAUUUUUUGCCGCUAAUUCCUGCUUCUUCGAAGCUUCAUGUUGCAAGCACGAAAAGACCUUCCACAAUUUACUGUUUCAAAAACAACGCCCCUGAAGAAUCUGUUAAGAAAGUUUUCCUUUGUAUAACUUUAUGAGAUGCAGAGAUGUGCCAUGUGAAGUUGCAUUCAUGCUAUAUUACUCCAGACUAUAUGUCACUAUAUAUUACUAUAGAUAAUUGUAGAUAACUAUAGUCACGUGUAGUAACAUAUAAUUAUAUGUAUGUUAUGUGUUUUGUAAUAGUAAUGUGUGUUCAUGUUUUGAAGAUUAUAUGCAUGUGAUUGUGUUUUUUUCA
Molecule: non-coding RNA, 846 nt
Organism: Erythranthe guttata (spotted monkey flower)
Lineage: Eukaryota; Viridiplantae; Streptophyta; Magnoliopsida; Lamiales; Phrymaceae
Source: RefSeq, a predicted model, not a curated record